GUUCCUGUAGUUGAAUACAACGGUGGUUUUUCAAGUCAUUGGUCCUGGUUAAAACCCGGGCAGGAAUU
This 68-nucleotide transfer RNA is filed under the name Labidesthes sicculus (brook silverside). RNAcentral describes it as "tRNA-Glu". It matches the Rfam family "tRNA". From Rfam's summary of the family: Transfer RNA (tRNA) molecules are approximately 80 nucleotides in length. Their secondary structure includes four short double-helical elements and three loops (D, anti-codon, and T loops). Further hydrogen bonds mediate the characteristic L-shaped molecular structure. tRNAs have two regions of fundamental functional importance: the anti-codon, which is responsible for specific mRNA codon recognition, and the 3' end, to which the tRNAs corresponding amino acid is attached (by aminoacyl-tRNA synthetases). tRNAs cope with the degeneracy of the genetic code in two manners: having more than one tRNA (with a specific anti-codon) for a particular amino acid; and 'wobble' base-pairing, i.e. permitting non-standard base-pairing at the 3rd anti-codon position. Lineage: Eukaryota; Metazoa; Chordata; Actinopteri; Atheriniformes; Atherinopsidae. The record is from RNAcentral.